RNAcentral lists this long non-coding RNA (1391 nucleotides) under Homo sapiens (human). RNAcentral's name for it is "HSALNT0106872". Lineage: Eukaryota; Metazoa; Chordata; Mammalia; Primates; Hominidae. The record is from RNAcentral.
GGGACUGGAUGAUACCACUGCAGAGAUGAAUGGAUAUGGAAAAGAUGACCAAGAACUGAGUCUAAGGCACUUCAACUGAAAGAGGGUUGGAAGAAGAGAGGGGACCUGCAAUGGAGACUUGGAAGAAGCAACUACAUUGGAAUAAAACCAAGAAGGAGACUUGAUAGAAUGCACUCCAUGUAAACAAGAAGACUCAAGAUUUAAGAAACAAGGCCACCAUCACUGGACAUAGAAAAAGAGGAUCCUCAGAAUCAAAUCUAUAGGAAAUUUCAAGGUAGAAGAUACUGCAACAGACUUAGAGAGUGACUAGAUGACUGGCUCAAGAGACCAGAGGGCUCCAGGAGUGACUGUUCUGGGAGGAAGAAAUGGAUUUAACCAAUUACUUGACAUGGAAACUGAAACUGAAUUUGGGAAGAAUUAGGGUUAUUAACAGAAAAGCAAGACAAUUACUAACUUAAGAAAAUAAGCUGAGUAGGAAAGAAAUGUAAUAAUAGCCCAGAUUUGAAAAAAAUAUUUACAUAGUCAUAUUAAUGUGAGCACUGAACACUGAUUUAAUAAAUGAUGGUAAAACAAUAAUGAGAUGAUGUAGGGAGAGAAACACACAUGGCAGAAGUGGUAAAAGUGGGCUAAAUCUUCGCAGUUCAUUAUAGAAAGUCAAUAGAUGAUGUACAGUUGCUAAAUCAAUCACAAAACAGCAGAAUAAUUGUAUAUGAAUUUACUGAAAAAGCUGAACAUUGGUGUGGGCUCCAUUUAAAGGUAGAACUUAAAUUAGGCAAGUGGGAGGAUAAUGGUUAUGUUAGAAAAAGUUACAUAAUAACUAACAAAGAUCAGGAACUGGGAAACGGAGCUAUAAAAAAGUAUACCAAUUUCAAAAUAUUUUAUGAUAGGGAAGAAAUAGGGUGGCCAGAAAAAGGGAAACAAAUAUUUUUUAAAACUGUACAAUCUCCUAAUGUUUUGCAUAAUCUUAUUCCCUUAUCCAUAGAAAUUCUAGAAAUGGAUAGCCCUCAAAUUUUUUGAACAUUGUAUAAAGUUUAGCAAAGUCUUUUAGCUUCAAAAAUUCUUUUGCUUUUUAAAAAUUUUAAGUAAAUAUCAUAUAAUUAUUUAAAUAAAAUUUAAUAUGCUCUGUAUCAAUCUAUCACCUAUCUUAUAUAUCUAAACCAUUUAUCCAUCUAUCUUUUUGUCUGCAUAUGUACUAAUUGAGCAACAUCUAGAAUGAGCUUCACCUAAUGUUAAUGAUGAUGCUUCUAAGUGAUGAGACUUGGAAUUAUUUUUUACACUUGUCUUUUUACUUUUUGUAUUGAUUAGAAUUGUUUAAUAAUAAUUAUAUUCAUAUUAAAGUAUCUUUAGAGUCUUGAAAUUGAAGACUUAUUUUUGAAUGAAUUUUAUGGCUU